CCGUGGCGGGAAGGGCCCUGUAAGUUCCCGAGUUAAGGCAGAUCACGGGGACUGAAGAGGAAGAACAAAGUCAGAGGGGCAGUAGGGGAGCCAAACUGAGCAAAGAACAAUUCAGGACGCCCAGUGAAAUCUGAAUUUCAGGAUACAGGGGAGCCUGUUUCCAGGGGCCCAGCAGGAAACAAUUGGAGGAUGAGAAGCCCAGGAGGCAGGCCCACUGUGUGACCCUGGAGAGUUCCGCCAUCCCUUGAAGCCUGGUUUCGCAUCUGUAGAGUGGAACCCCACAGUUGUCCAGGCAGCUACAACCCCAGCUGAUCGCAGUCCCACACUACCAUGGAUCUGGGAGGAACUUUCUCAGAGGUGA
Molecule: long non-coding RNA, 361 nt
Organism: Chinchilla lanigera (long-tailed chinchilla)
Lineage: Eukaryota; Metazoa; Chordata; Mammalia; Rodentia; Chinchillidae
Exons: 3
Source: RefSeq, a predicted model, not a curated record